Molecule: ribosomal RNA, 241 nt
Filed under: uncultured bacterium
Lineage: Bacteria
Description: partial 16S ribosomal RNA
Rfam family: Bacterial small subunit ribosomal RNA
Source: RNAcentral
AGCGGCGGACGGGUGAGUAACGCGUAGGAAUCUACCUGGUAGUGGGGGACAACUUGGGGAAACCCAAGCUAAUACCGCAUAACGUCUACGGACCAAAGGGGGGGAUUCAUUUAUGAACCUCCCGCCAUUUGAUUAGCCCAAGUGAGAUUAGCUAGUUGGUGAGGUAAAGGCUCACCAAGGCGACGAUCUCUAGCUGGUUUGAGAGGAUGAUCAGCCACACUGGGACUGAGACACGGCCCAG